UCCCUGGUGGCUCAGAUGGUAAAGAGUCUGCCUGCAAUACAGGAGACCCAGGUUCGAUCCCUGGGCUGGGAA
This 72-nucleotide transfer RNA is filed under the name Bos taurus (domestic cattle). It matches the Rfam family "tRNA". From Rfam's summary of the family: Transfer RNA (tRNA) molecules are approximately 80 nucleotides in length. RNAcentral also lists the same sequence under 5 other names. Lineage: Eukaryota; Metazoa; Chordata; Mammalia; Artiodactyla; Bovidae. The record is from Rfam by way of RNAcentral.